GCGCGCACGCGCACGCGCACGCGCGUAUAUAUAUAUAUGUGUGUGUGUGUGUGUGUGUGCGCGC
This is a non-coding RNA of Podarcis lilfordi (Lilford's wall lizard), 64 nucleotides long. The record is from the annotation of a GenBank genome assembly. Lineage: Eukaryota; Metazoa; Chordata; Lepidosauria; Squamata; Lacertidae.